AUUCGGUUCGAUUUGAUUCGAUUUAAAUAUAUAAAAUUACUAUUCGGUUUGGUUUGAUCAAUUUUUCUCUUUAAAAUCAAAUCGAACCGAACAGAUUGAACCGAAUUGACUCGGAUCAAUUCGAUUUUUCUAUUCAAACCGAAAUCUGUUCACUCCUACUCACCCCGACUUAUUAGAAAAAAGAUCGGGCCCAGCAAAAUCAGCUCUAGCCAAUCUGCCCGUCCUGCUCAUAUUCAGUACAACACUAUACGUAUGCCGGCACACACACAGCUUCAAAUUACCUUAAGGUGACACGCACAUUGAUUUCAUCAAUGUAAGAAUGCAACACAAGUCAUGCCUAUUAAUAGCUAUAUACAUAUACUUAUAAGUGAUGCAUGGGCAUGCC
RNAcentral lists this unclassified non-coding RNA (385 nucleotides) under Hevea brasiliensis (rubber tree). Lineage: Eukaryota; Viridiplantae; Streptophyta; Magnoliopsida; Malpighiales; Euphorbiaceae. The record is from RNAcentral.